RNAcentral lists this ribosomal RNA (253 nucleotides) under uncultured bacterium. RNAcentral's name for it is "partial 16S ribosomal RNA". It matches the Rfam family "Bacterial small subunit ribosomal RNA", at positions 524 to 776 of the family's 1533-position model. The record is from RNAcentral.
UACGGGGGGGGCAAGCGUUGUUCGGAAUUACUGGGCGUAAAGAGCUCGUAGGCGGUUUGUCACGUCGGAUGUGAAACCCCGGGGCUUAACUCCGGGCCUGCAUUCGAUACGGGCUGACUAGAGUUCGGCAGGGGAGACUGGAAUUCCUGGUGUAGCGGUGAAAUGCGCAGAUAUCAGGAGGAACACCGGUGGCGAAGGCGGGUCUCUGGGCAUGUCCUGACGCUGAGGAGCGAAAGUGUGGGGAGCGAACAGG